UACGUAGGGAGCAAGCGUUGUUCGGAUUUACUGGGCGUAAAGGGCGCGUAGGCGGCAAUUCAAGUCAUCUGUGAAAUCUCCGGGCUUAACUCGGAACGGUCAGAUGAUACUGUCUUGCUAGAGUGCAGAAGGGGCAAUCGGAAUUCUUGGUGUAGCGGUGAAAUGCGUAGAUAUCAAGAGGAACACCUGAGGUGAAGACGGGUUGCUGGGCUGACACUGACGCUGAGGCGCGAAAGCCAGGGGAGCAAACGGG
This 253-nucleotide ribosomal RNA is filed under the name uncultured bacterium. Its description in RNAcentral is "partial 16S ribosomal RNA". It matches the Rfam family "Bacterial small subunit ribosomal RNA", at positions 524 to 776 of the family's 1533-position model. RNAcentral also lists the same sequence under 1 other name. The record is from RNAcentral.